GAUGAAGAACGUAGCGAAACGCGAUAUGUAAUGUGAAUUGCAGAAUUCAGUGAAUCAUCGAAUCUUUGAACGCACAUGGCGCCUUCCAGUAUCCUGGGAGGCAUGCCUGUCCGAGCGUCAUUACAACCCUCAAGCUCAGCUUGGUAUUGGGCCCCGCCGACCCGGCGGGCCCUAAAGUCAGUGGCGGUGCCGUCCGGCUCCGAGCGUAGUAAUUCUUCUCGCUCUGGAGGUCCGGUCGUGUGCUCGCCAGCAACCCCCAAUUUUUUUCAGGUUGACCUCGGAUCAGGUAGGGAUACCCGCUGAACUUAAGCAUAUCAAUAAGCGGAGGA
This 329-nucleotide unclassified non-coding RNA is filed under the name soil metagenome. RNAcentral's name for it is "partial contains 5.8S ribosomal RNA, internal transcribed spacer 2, and large subunit ribosomal RNA". The stretch from base 1 to 120 matches the Rfam family "5.8S ribosomal RNA", at positions 35 to 154 of the family's 154-position model. The record is from RNAcentral.